Molecule: long non-coding RNA, 879 nt
Organism: Acanthopagrus latus (yellowfin seabream)
Lineage: Eukaryota; Metazoa; Chordata; Actinopteri; Spariformes; Sparidae
Exons: 2
Source: RefSeq, a predicted model, not a curated record
AGGGAUGGUCAUUCAGCGGAAUUUGACGUCAAAGGCACUUAGUUAUUUCUAUAAAUUGUCCAAGGUUCAUUCAGAUGUUAGAAGAAGGACAGAGUGCGCUGAAGUUGCCCCAAUUUGGCACUAGUUACUUUUUAUUUCAGCCACUAGGAGGAAGCAGUGCGUGACUUUUAAUCCUGGAAACCACGUGAUCUUCCGCUGAAACGCCAAGGAUCAAUCAAUAGGUCCAUGGGAUCAACCUUGGGAUGAACACCUCAACAGUAUCUUGUUUUUAAUGUGACCAAAGAGCUGCUUUAAUGUCGUAAAUCGUCACUGAAUGCCGCAUUGGAGUUCCACUGAGCACUGACCCUGCAAAGGCAUCAGCCUGACUGUUAGAGAGGAAAUCCUCCGGGGUAGGGGUGGUCACCCCGUCCCCAGGUAUACUGUCAGAACAGCAACAUGCCCUGGCAAGGAAGGCAAGAGAAUCAAUGGACUGCAGCUCAUCACCAUCUGUGGCCGAGGCAGCAAUCGUCAGCUUGAAACCAGAUGGUGCGCCGGGAGCACAAAAGACUGACAGCUGUCAUUCAUGAGAGCAGAGACUCUGAACCACUGCAGUGAACUGAACCUGAACUGGUUUACUGACUGAAAGUUAUGCAAGAAAGAGUUGCAAAACACUGGAAAAGCAUCCACAUGCAGAUUUAUAACUUUUUCUUCAUAGUAGUCUCUAUAUAAUGAAGGUGUGCUUGUGAAUACUGAUAAUUAAAGCCUUUAAUUCAGUGUGAAUACAAUUCAUCUGUGUGUGAGGUGUCUAAAAAUGUAAAGCUGACGAAAUUUGUGAGGACAAGUCAAGGUAAUUUUGUCAUGAUUCAAUACAAAUAAACAUUCCUAGUGAUAUAAACUUGA